This is a long non-coding RNA of Paralichthys olivaceus (Japanese flounder), 666 nucleotides long. RefSeq lists it as uncharacterized. NCBI's taxonomy places the organism in Eukaryota, Metazoa, Chordata, Actinopteri, Pleuronectiformes, Paralichthyidae. The record is from RefSeq and is a predicted model, not a curated record.
CUCUGUUUUUUCACUUUGCCACGUCGUCCGUUUUAGUUCAGUCCCGAUCCUCCCUGAUAUGUCCAGAGUUUUUCCAGCUUGGUUCUCCUUAUUCUACCUGGAAAUAACUAGGACGAUUUCAAACUGGAACUGAUUCCUUCACGCCCUUUGGUCACAACACGAGCGGACUCUAGCUCCUUCACCACAACCAUGAUUCAGAGGCUGGAUAUUGUUGUGCCACAGUUCUCCCAUGACUGGUUACAUAUCCCACAUGUACCUGACGUGCAGGGUGUCGUGUCGGUGUGUAAAGUGAUACUGCCACCACCUCGGGUUUCUGGAAGUAUUCGUGGCUGUUUGCAGAGUCAACAAACAAGAUCAUCGGAUUCUGGCCCUCGUCCAACAGGCAGACUGUCAUGAACAAAACUUUCUGGGAAGAGACGUAACAGGAUCACAGAUGCCAAUUCAGUAUCGGACAAAGAGAAACAAGUGUUUGGACACUGGAAAAGAGUGUGACAAUCAGUGAGUUUCUAACUUGGUGUUGAUCUGACUGUCAGUAAUGCAAGAAACAAAAAAUUCUAGGAUUUCGACCAUAAAGUUGUGAUUGAUUAAAGAAAAAAAUUCAGAAUUUCACAAAAUUGAUUGAUUGUCACAGUUCAUUCAUUCCCUAACCACCUCAUCAUUAUUACU